Long non-coding RNA from Fundulus heteroclitus (mummichog), 1169 nucleotides. RefSeq lists it as uncharacterized. The record is from RefSeq and is a predicted model, not a curated record. The transcript is spliced from 6 exons. NCBI's taxonomy places the organism in Eukaryota, Metazoa, Chordata, Actinopteri, Cyprinodontiformes, Fundulidae.
ACCCCCAAUACUUCUCUUAAGUUUCUCAAGAUCUUCAUCUAGAGGGAUCCCAUAAAUCACUCCUCUAAUCUUUUUAUUUUCUCCCAACACUUUUUUCUCCAACACAGUUUUUUUUACAAAUAUUAUCCACAUUUAAAGCCUUAUUCAUUUGUUCUUCGUUUUUACAGACAACCAAUAGGUUUCCAUCUCGCAAAAUCUUUACCAUUUCGACAUCUCCAAUUUUCUUUUUUAUUUCUCUUGACACCACAAUGGGGCUGAUGUUAUCCUGUUCCUGUUCAUUUUAAAAUUUUAAUAUUAUUUUAAAUUCCUCCCUCACAAGUUUCCUCCAAACUAUCCUUUCUUCAUCCGAACUACUUCCUUCCAGUUCUCGUUUACUGCCUUGAUUUUCCUUUCCUUCAUCUGUUUUAUUUCUUCCACGUCCUCUCCCUCUUCCUCUUCCCACUGGCGUCCACCCUUCUAAAUCCAUACCUUCCUCUAUUUCUACCUCCAUUUCCACCAGAACCAUUCACAUACCAGUUUAUGCCAAAUCCACCUUUUCCAAAUCCGAUAUAUUUUUAUGUUUUGUUUUUCCCGCGCCGCUCCAAAUCCAACUCUUCCGACCUCACACUUCCGCCUCCAACCAUAGACAUAAUCAGCGCCAUAGAGAUUGGACAUCAUUCACUUCCAUUGCUGACUCUCGAGUAAAUUCUGAGACCACCGAUUGCCUGCUAUUUUUGUUAGCUUGACUUCGCCCUCUGUAAAGCUCCAGCCAGCAUAAACACCAGUGCAUGCGUCGCUUGUCCUUGGUGGUCAGGCAGCGUGAUGUUGCCAAAUAGCCUCCCCGUUCCCAGAUGGAGCUCCACGCCUGGAGUAAUGGACAUUUCAUCUAAGUUGCCUUAUUAGGUCCUCCACAAUUGCACUAUUAGACCCUGGCAGUCUGGUCCCUGGAGCACCUGGCCCUGGCAAAGUUGGUUCAUCGUUGCUGGCUCCUGACUGACUGGCCCUCGGCACACACAUCCCUGGAUCACCUGCCCCUGUGUCCAGGACUCAGAUGAAGAGGAUGUUAGUAUGCGUUGUUGAGAGGAACUGCCCUACAGUGACUGGCCAUAGUGCUUACUGGAACUCUACAGAUCUUGCUGGACCAGCAGUAUCGUUUUUGUGGCCAUCACAGGUUUCAGUGGAGCACCCCC